GACGAACGCUGGCGGCGUGCUUAACACAUGCAAGUCGAACGGUGAAGCGCCUUCCUUUUUGGUGGGUGUGGAUGAGUGGCGAACGGGUGAGUAACACGUGAGUAACCUGCCCCCUUCUUCUGGAUAACCGCAUGAAAGUGUGGCUAAUACGGGAUAUUCUGGGUCUGUCGCAUGAUGGGUCUGGGAAAGAUAUUGUUUCGGUGGGGGAUGGGCUCGCGGCCUAUCAGCUUGUUGGUGGGGUGAUGGCCUACCAAGGCGGUGACGGGUAGCCGGCCUGAGAGGGUGGACGGUCACACUGGGACUGAGACACGGCCCAGACUCCUACGGGAGGCAGCAGUGGGGAAUAGUGCACAAUGGGCGCAAGGCUGAUGCAGCGACGCCGCGUGAGGGAUGGAGGCCGUCGGGUUGUGAACCUCUUUCGCCAGUGAAGCAGGCCUGCCUCGUUUGUGGGUGGGUUGACGGUAGCUGGAGAAGAAGCGCCGGCUAACUACGUG
RNAcentral lists this ribosomal RNA (494 nucleotides) under uncultured bacterium. RNAcentral describes it as "partial 16S ribosomal RNA". It matches the Rfam family "Bacterial small subunit ribosomal RNA", at positions 28 to 507 of the family's 1533-position model. The record is from RNAcentral.